AAGAACACUACCAACGACCGGU
This 22-nucleotide microRNA is filed under the name Columba livia (rock pigeon). RNAcentral's name for it is "cli-miR-9646-3p". The record is from miRBase by way of RNAcentral. Lineage: Eukaryota; Metazoa; Chordata; Aves; Columbiformes; Columbidae.